RNAcentral lists this long non-coding RNA (4222 nucleotides) under Equus asinus (donkey). RNAcentral describes it as "lncRNA (ENSEASG00005036739.1)". The record is from RNAcentral. Lineage: Eukaryota; Metazoa; Chordata; Mammalia; Perissodactyla; Equidae.
CUGGGAUGUCUGGUGUUUAACAACCGGCUCUCAAGAAAGAAAAGAUUCCUGAUGUGUAGUGUUUGCUAAUUUCCGUGAUGUAAGUUUUCCUGCCGUGGCCACUUUCAAGCUACCAACAGGACGUCACGGGGCUUGGAACUGGAAGGAAAUGUGCACCAUCAGCUGCACAGGAGUGACAAAUCCCAUUACUGAGCACCUGCUGGGGACCCGGGCCUGAAACCUGUGUUUUCCAUGCCUGAUCUCACCUCCUCUCACUUACCUGGAAGGUUAUCAUCUCCAUUUUGCAGCUGCAUCAGUCCAGUCUCUGCCUUUGUCAUCAUGUGGAAAGACACCAGCCGGUUGGAUUAGAACCCACCCUAAUGACUUCAUCCACCCUUAAUCAGCUGCAAAGAUCCUAUUUCCGAGUAAGGUCACGUUCACAGGUACGAGGGGUUAGGACUGCAACAUGUCCUUUUGGGGGACACAAUUUAACCCAUAAUAGCAUCCAAAUGUAAAAUGAGCCUCCCUUUGACUCGGUCACCCCAUGUUUAGAAAUUUACCCUAAAGAGAUGCCUAGACAGAUAGCAAAGAGGCUCGGGGUAGUAUUGUUCAUAUUAGUGAAAAACUAGAAGCACCUUAGCAGUCAAUUGCAUACUAGUUAAAUAUAUUAUCCCGUACAACACCAUAAAAGCAACAGAGAUGGAGAUGUAAUUCUAUAUUUUUUUGCCGUAGAAAAGCGAUCACAACCUAUCAUUGAGUGAAUGAAGCCGAUUACAAAGCGGCGUGUAUAACGAUUUUGUAAACACGUUGACUUAAAUCUGUGUCAAGAAAGAUGAACUUCAGUGUGUUAACAGCGGUUACCUCUGAGUUGGUGGGAUUUUUAGGGAUUUAAAUUGUCUUCUUUCUAUUGUCUGACGAUGUUUGGGUACAUUUGUAAAUCAAAAACGAGAACUCAUCUUUAAAGAGCUCUGAGGGCUAUGGGCGGCCAAAGCAGCCGGUGGAACUGGGAGUCGUCACCAAGCCCACGUGGAUGCUCUUUGCAGCCCCAACAACCACCAAACACGUGUUGCAACUCCUCUCUCCCGUCCCUGCCCUGAGGUCACUGCGGUGAGAUCUUGCUGGCCCAGAGGUAAGAAAGGCCCUGCAUCCCCAGAACCCAUGAACGUGUUACCUUACAUGGACGAAGGGACCUUGCAGAUGUGGUUAAGAUAAGGACUCUGAGAUGGGAGAUUAUCCUGGAUGAUCCAGAGGGGCCCAGAUUAGCCCUGAGCUAACACCUGCUGCCAAUCCUCCUCUUUUUGCUGAGGAAGCCUGGCCCUGAGCUCACAUCCGUGCCCAUCUUCCUCCACGUUAUAUGUGGGACGCCUAUCACAGCAUGGCUUGUCAAGCUGUGCCAUGUCCACACCCGGGAUCCGAACCGGUGAACCUCGGGCCACCAAAGUGGAAUGUGUGAACUUAACCGCUGCACCACGGGCCGGCCCCUUAACCAUUUUUUAAGUGCACAGUUUGGUGGCAUUGAGUAUAUUUACUCUGUUGCGUGACCAUCGCCACCAUUCAUCUCCAGAACUUUUUCGUCUUCCCAAACAGAGACUCUGUCCCCAUUAAACACGAACUCCCCAGCCUCCCUUCCCCCAGCCCCUGGUAGCAACUUUUUCUUGAAAAACGCUAAAGCAUUUUCAAAAGCCAGCCAUUUGACCUCCUGGCAGGUGCAAGAAUGGCCAGGCUCCUGAGCUAUGUUUGAACUGUUUCUGGGCAAAACAACACAGAAAACUUCAAAGCAAGCCUCCUGCCACCCAUCCAGAAAAAUCUCAACUUUGCCUUCGUGACAUGUUCUCCAACAACCUGUGCUGCAACCUGUGGGGACCAGGACACCGAGAGAAGUGGGAUCAGAAAACCCAGAGGGAUGUCCCCUAGAGUUUAGACAAUGCAUGGUUUUCCACUGAAACACAGAUUUCUCACAUGAAAGAUGGCAGGGUUGAAGCUAAGGGAUUAGAAGGAGCAAAUCCUUGGAGCUUCUGAGAAAGGGAGGCAUCAGGAGCAGUUUGCAGACCGAGAACAAGGGCCCUCACAUUUCUAGAGGAUAGCAGAGCUUCCCUUGUUAAAUUGUGAUCCAUUGUCUGGAUCCCUGCUGAAUUUUGUGGUUAAAAUUCUGAUGUGAAAGACCGGAGGGCUUGCUUCAGGGACAGCCAGGAAGGUGAAGCCACCCAGCAAGGCCGGACCCCAGAGCCUUCGUGGGCAGGAGGCCCACAAGUGUUGGCGAGGGAGGUAGAGCUGCAGGGGAGCGGCAUGUGGCGCCACUCAGGCGGCCUGACCAAGGCUGGACCGCUCAGAUCAGGUGCUGCCUUGAAUGUUCUGCACACCAGGCAGGCCCUGAGGGCCGGGCCUGAAUGGAGGGAUGUGCAUUCCAGAACUGCAGCCAGAAAGGACAAGGUUACCCCAAAAGAGCCCCAGGGAUUCCCUGAAGGAGGAAUUUGGGGGCUCUGUGAGGGAAUUCCUGCUUAUGGGAGCAAGACACGCUGGAGCCCCUGUGAACACAGCAUGCGGAGCUCUGCCGGUGAUCUCCACCCUGUCACCUCCAAAGCUGAGUGGAGGGAGGAAGCACUUCAGUACCCGCUGAACUGAAGAGAUUCUCCAAAAAAGUUAUAGCGUGACUGGAGGCGCAAAACCCUGCCUCUACCUCCAUCCAGCCUCCUGAUAAAUUGCGGAAAGUCUGGAAACAUUCUCACUUCUACCACCAGAUGGCGCCAUCGACACAUUCCCUCCGCCCCCACAACCGCCGCAUGCCCCCGGCUAAUUGUUAAACCAGACAAGAAGCCCUCACAUCUAUAAAGGAGCCUGGUAGAUCCCAAACGACCCUCUGGCUCAGGGCAUGCACAGAAACCAUGGGAAUUCCAAGUGUGUGAGGGGAGGAGCAGAGGAAAGCAGAUACUGCCUGGAGAGCUGAGAACCCAGACAGUGAAAGGCCAUCCAGAUCAGAAAUCUCUAUUUCUCCAACCCUCUUCACUACACACUGCUCUUGUUCUUUUUAUUGUCUCACUUCCCUUUGUACAAAGAUUGAAGUUCCAACUAUUGAAAAUUCAGUGGUUGGGGCUGGCCCUGUGGGGCAGCUUAGUGGUUAAGUUCAUAUGCUCAGCUUCCACCACCCAGGGUUCAUGGGUUCUGAUCCUGGUCUGGACUUAUGAGCCACUCAUCAAGCCAUGCUGUGGCAGGCGUCCCACAUAUGAAACAGAGGAAGAUGGGCACAGAUCGUAGCUCAGGGCCAGUCUUCCUCAGCAAAAAGAGGAGAAUUGGUGACAGAUGUUAGCUCAGGGCUAGUCUUCCUCAAAAAAAAAAAAAAAAAAAGAGCCAGACAACCUGAUUGAAAAAUGGAGAAAGGAAUUGAACAGACAUUUCUCCAAAGAAGAUAUACAAAUGGCCAAGAAGCACAUGAAAACAUGCUCAACAUCAUUAAUCAUUCAGGGAAAUGCAAAUCAAAACCAUGAGAUACUACCUUACACCCAUUAGGAUGGCUAUUCUUUUUUUUUUUUUUUUUUGAGGAAGAUUAGCCCUGAGCUAGCAUCUGCUGCCAAUCCUCCUCUUUUUGUUGAGGAAGACUGGCCCUGAGCUAACAUCUGUGCCCUACUUUAUAUGUGGGACGCCUACCACAGCAUGGCUUGCCAAGCAGUGCCAUGUCCACACCCGGGAUCUGAACCAGCUAACCCUGGGCCUCUAAACAGGAACGUGUGAACUUAACCCCUGUGCCACUGGGCCAGCUCCAGGAUAGCUAUUCUUUAAAAAAAAAAAAGGGGUCAGAAAAUAACAAGUGUUGGCAGGGAUUUGGAGAAAUUGUAAUCCUUGUGUACUGAUGGUGGAUAUGUAUAAUGGUGCAGCUGGUAUGAAAAACAGGUGGCGCCUCAAAAUAUUGAAAAUAAAAUUACCAUAUGAUCUAGCAAUUACACUUCUGAGUAUAUACUCCAAAGAAUUAAAAGCAAGAUCUCAAAGAGAUUUUUAUACACUCAUGUUCAUAGCAGCAUAUUCACAAUAGCCAAAAAGUGGAAACAACCCAAAAGUCUUAUCGGUGGAUGAGUAGAUAAAUGUGGUAUUUACAUACAAUGGAAUAUUAUUCAGCCUUAAAAAGAAAGGAAACUCUGACACGUGCUACAGCACGAAUGAACCUUGAGGACAUUCUGCUAAGUGAAAUAACCCAGUCAGAAAAGGACAGAUAUUUUAUGAUUCCACUUAUAUGAUGAACCUGGAGCAGUUA